RNAcentral lists this ribosomal RNA (419 nucleotides) under uncultured bacterium. Its description in RNAcentral is "partial 16S ribosomal RNA". It matches the Rfam family "Bacterial small subunit ribosomal RNA", at positions 361 to 772 of the family's 1533-position model. The record is from RNAcentral.
AUAUUGGACAAUGGGGGCAACCUUGUUCCAGCCAUGCCGCGAGUGUGAAGAAGGUCUUCGGAUUGUAAAGCACUUUAAGUUGGGGGGAAGGGCUUUAGGUUAAUACCCUGAUGUUUUGACGUUACCAACAGAAUAAGCACCGGCUAACUCUGUCCCAACAGCCGCGGUAAUACAGUGGGUGUAAGCGUUAAUCGGAAUUCCUGGGCGUAAAGCGCGCGUAGGUGGUUCAGUAAGAUGGGUGUGAAAUCACCGGGCUUAACCUGGGAACUGCUUUGAUAACUGGUGCGCUAGAAUACGAGAGAGGGUAGUGGAAUUUCCUGUUGAAGGGUGAAAUGCGUAGAUAUAGGAAGGAACCACAGUGGCGAAGGCCACUACCUGGACUGAUCCUGACACUGAAGUGCAAAAGCGUUGGGAGCAAA